Molecule: ribosomal RNA, 531 nt
Filed under: Fissuroma aggregatum
Lineage: Eukaryota; Fungi; Ascomycota; Dothideomycetes; Pleosporales; Aigialaceae
Description: eukaryotic LSU rRNA
Rfam family: 5.8S ribosomal RNA (bases 164-317)
Source: RNAcentral
AGGAUCAUUAGAAGAAAAGAAACGGGACAAAGAUCCCGUGGCCGCCCGCGGCGAGCCCCUGUUCAUGAGUACCGUAUGUUUCCUCGGCGGGUCCGCCCGCCAGCGAGGACCACUACCGAAACCUAUUGCAGUAGCAGUACCCGUCUGAACCAAAACCCUUCAAAACUUUCAACAACGGAUCUCUUGGCUCUGGCAUCGAUGAAGAACGCAGCGAAAUGCGAUAAGUAGUGUGAAUUGCAGAAUUCAGUGAAUCAUCGAAUCUUUGAACGCACAUUGCGCCCAUUGGCAUUCCUCUGGGCAUGCCUGUUCGAGCGUCAAACCUAACCUUCAAGCGCGGCUUGGUGUUGGGCGCCUGCCCCCGGGAAGCCCCCCGGGGACUCGCCUCGAAACGAUUGGCGGCGGGCCGCGGGCCCCGAGCGCAGCAGAGCACGCGCCCGGGAGCCCGCGGGGCACGCGAGCCAGGAGCGAACUCCAGACGUACACAUGACCUCGGAUCAGGUAGGGAUACCCGCUGAACUUAAGCAUAUCAAU